GCAACAAGUAGGGCGGGACACGAGAAAUCCUGUUUGAAGAUGGGGGGACCAUCCUCCAAGGCUAAAUACUCCUGAUUGACCGAUAGUGAACCAGUACUGUGAAGGAAAGGCGAAAAGAACCCCAGUGAGGGGAGUGAAAUAGAACCUGAAACCGUGUACGUACAAGCAGUGGGAGCCCGAAAGGGUGACUGCGUACCUUUUGUAUAAUGGGUCAGCGACUUAUAUUUUGUAGCGAGGUUAACUGAAUAAGGGAGCCGAAGGGAAACCGAGUCUUAACUGGGCGGCUAGUUGCAAGGUAUAGACCCGAAACCCGGUGAUCUAGCCAUGGGCAGGUUGAAGGUUGGGUAACACUAACUGGAGGACCGAACCGACUAAUGUUGAAAAAUUAGCGGAUGACUUGUGGCUGGGGGUGAAAGGCCAAUCAAACCGGGAGAUAGCUGGUUCUCCCCGAAAUCUAUUUAGGUAGAGCCUUAUGUGAAUACCUUCGGGGGUAGAGCACUGUUUCGGCUAGGGGUCCAUCCCGGAUUACCAACCCGAUGCAAACUGCGAAUACCGAAGAGUAAUGCAUAGGAGACACACAGUGGGUGCUAACGUCCAUCGUGGAGAGGGAAACAACCCAGACCGCCAGCUAAGGUCCCAAAGUCUAUAUUAAGUGGGAAACGAAGUGGGAAGGCUUAGACAGCUAGGAUGUUGGCUUAGAAGCAGCCACCAUUUAAAGAAAGCGUAAUAGCUCACUAGUCGAGUCGGCCUGCGCGGAAGAUGUAACGGGGCUAAAAUAUAGCACCGAAGCUGCGGCAUCAGGCGUAUCACAAAUACGCCUUCGAUUAACAACAUCGAAUGAAGUGAAACGGAAUAAGAUGUUGGUCAAGCACCCAACACGUUGAGUUGGCAUAAAGUGCGGAUAGAAAUCAGAGGAAUAUUUGUGAUACGCCUGUUGGGUAGGGGAGCGUUGUGUAAGUCGAUGAAGGUGUAUUGAGAAGUAUGCUGGAGAUAUCACAAGUGCGAAUGCUGACAUAAGUAACGAUAAAACGAGUGAAAAACUCGUUCGCCGGAAGACCAAGGGUUCCUGUCCAACGUUAAUCGGGGCAGGGUGAGUCGGCCCCUAAGGCGAGGCUGAAAAGCGUAGUCGAUGGGAAACGGGUUAAUAUUCCCGUACUUGGUAAAGCUGCGAUGUGGGGACGGAGAAGGUUAGGUUAGCAGACUGUUGGAUGUCUGUUUAAGUUGGUAGGUGGGGAGUUUAGGCAAAUCCGGACUUCCAUAACACUGAGAGAUGAUGACGAGUUUCUACGGAAAUGAAGUAACUGAUACCACGCUUCCAGGAAAAGCCACUAAGCGAAAGGCUUUACUAAACCGUACUGAAAACCGACACAGGUGGUCAGGUAGAGAAUACUCAGGCGCUUGAGAGAACUCGGGUGAAGGAACUAGGCAAAAUAGCACCGUAACUUCGGGAGAAGGUGCGCUGGCGUAGGUUGUAAGAGUAUACCUCCGAAGGCUGAACCAGUCGAAGAUACCAGCUGGCUGCAACUGUUUAUUAAAAACACAGCACUCUGCAAACACGAAAGUGGACGUAUAGGGUGUGAUGCCUGCCCGGUGCUGGAAGGUUAAUUGAUGGUGUUAUCGAAAG
RNAcentral lists this ribosomal RNA (1624 nucleotides) under Glaesserella parasuis str. Nagasaki. Its description in RNAcentral is "bacterial LSU rRNA". It matches the Rfam family "Bacterial large subunit ribosomal RNA", at positions 405 to 1899 of the family's 2925-position model. The record is from RNAcentral. Lineage: Bacteria; Pseudomonadati; Pseudomonadota; Gammaproteobacteria; Pasteurellales; Pasteurellaceae.